GUGCACCAGAUACUAGCCUGGUCUUCUGUGUCCUGUGCUUAUCGUGGCUUGGGAAACACUGUGAUUUCUGGGUCUAAAGGUGCCAAAUUAAAUAUGCCAGGAGCUAUUUAAGCUCAUUGUGUGAAGACUCACCGUGGGUUAUUACUCACUGGCACAGAG
Molecule: non-coding RNA, 159 nt
Organism: Protopterus annectens (West African lungfish)
Lineage: Eukaryota; Metazoa; Chordata; Ceratodontiformes; Protopteridae
Product: small Cajal body-specific RNA 1
Exons: 1
Source: RefSeq, a predicted model, not a curated record